CCGUUAAGCCAGGGCGAAGUAAGCCAUAGCUAUAGACCGAGGGACCUGAAGAAAGGAUAUUCAGCAGAUGUAGAGGCGGCCACAAGAAUUUCAAGGUGCAGUUUUAUAAGCAUUUCCAGCAAAACCAGUAACUGGUAAAACACCAUCAAACACGAUGCACGGGCAACUGGGCACUUCCUUGGAUUCCAGCAGCCCCAUCCCUACUCCUGCUGUCACCGACGUGACUCCCGGGGCCCUCCACUUUGUGCCGGCACGUUAUGCGGAAGGGCCCCCGCCCUAGAAAUGGCUGAAAGGGGAGAAGCAGAGUUGAGGCUUUGUGACGCCAGCAGGACUCUACAUCUGGCGUUUUCGAAACCGUGUCGUCAUUCACAGAAUUUCCUGGCCACCUCUGUUUUGGACAUAGCCAUGACCAUGGUCCAGCGCCUCCAAACUUGAAACAGAAGACGACUUGCCCGCGAGCCCCUUUAUUUCGAGUCUUGCUUCAAGUACAGCUGUCCCCUCGGGCUACCCGGGACGUCCCUGGGGCCCACCAAGUUCAAGGGUCACUUUUUAAAUUCCUGUUUGGUCUCUAGUGCACUUGAACUCUAUGGGCUACAUCUCUCUUUAAGCUUUUUCUCUUCCCCAGUGCACCCCUCGCUCCAGUUUUUCCCUGAGACUAUAAACACCCAGGUUGUCAACCUUACUAUAUGUUAUCUGUAGACUCGGUAAGAGAGUCGGUCCCGAGAGCUGGGCCCCAGCCCUUGCUUUGCUCAGUAGGGACGUAGUCAUUGUACUGCACACCGAGUGAUCUAACCACGUUGACGGCUGAGUGUGCCUGUGAUGAGGUCCGAAUCUGCACGCAUAGGCGUUUCUGGACAUCUCCGCUUGAACCUCAUUAUGACCUAUCCAAAUCAGAACACAAACCCUCAAAACUU
This is a long non-coding RNA of Canis lupus familiaris (dog), 914 nucleotides long. RefSeq lists it as uncharacterized. The record is from RefSeq and is a predicted model, not a curated record. Lineage: Eukaryota; Metazoa; Chordata; Mammalia; Carnivora; Canidae. The transcript is spliced from 2 exons.